UCCAGUCAUCCGAGAUAAACAUUUUCCUUAACUGCACUCUCCUCGAAUGUAUGUUAUCUAGGCAUAAGUACCAGGUCGCAAAUCUUGUGACCCCAGGCUUCACAAUCUCUUUCUUCCUUGUAAAUCUACGCAUCAUGCUGAGGGUGGGAUGGUGGCCAUAAAUGAAAUUUGUAAUUGACUUUGCCUUCUUCACUGCACCUGAUAUCUCGGUUAAACCGCCAAGAGCCUCAAGCAUGAGGUUUAUAUAAUGUGCUGCACAUAUUGUCUAAAAGAUUUUAGGAUAAGCUAUGCGCAACAAAUUAGCUGCAACAACAUUAGGAGCAACAUUGUCUUGACAACCUGUACAACAUGAUGCUCCCCAACCUCCAUUCCCUUCUCUAAAACUUGGAAUAUGUAAUGAGCAUCAUGGAUAUGAUCAGAGGCAUCAAUAGACCUCAAAAAAACAGUCCCUAAAGGACAAUUGAUAAGCAAAUUCAUCUGACUUCUUCUCUUCUUAUCACUCCAAGCAUCAGUCAUAAUAGAUACCCCAUAUUGAGCCCAUGCUUCUUUCUUAACUUCUACAGCUUCCUUCGUGACACUCACCGCCUUUUUCAAAAGAGGCUCUGAAAGCU
Molecule: long non-coding RNA, 611 nt
Filed under: Amborella trichopoda
Lineage: Eukaryota; Viridiplantae; Streptophyta; Magnoliopsida; Amborellales; Amborellaceae
Description: long non-coding RNA (ATRI_LNC003899)
Source: RNAcentral